GACGAACGCUGGCGGCGUGCCUAAUACAUGCAAGUCGAACGCUGAAGGAGGAGCUUGCUUCUCUGGAUGAGUUGCGAACGGGUGAGUAACGCGUAGGUAACCUGCCUGGUAGCGGGGGAUAACUAUUGGAAACGAUAGCUAAUACCGCAUAAGAGUAGAUGUUGCAUGACAUUUGCUUAAAAGGUGCAAUUGCAUCACUACCAGAUGGACCUGCGUUGUAUUAGCUAGUUGGUGGGGUAACGGCUUACCAAGGCGACGAUACAUAGCCGACCUGAGAGGGGGAUCGGCCACACUGGGACUGAGACACGGCCCAGACUCCUACGGGAGGCAGCAGUAGGGAAUCUUCGGCAAUGGACGGAAGUCUGACCGAGCAACGCCGCGUGAGUGAAGAAGGUUUUCGGAUCGUAAAGCUCUGUUGUAAGAGAAGAACGAGUGUGAGAGUGGAAAGUUCACACUGUGACGGUAUCUUACCAGAAAGGGACGGCUAACUACGUG
This 495-nucleotide ribosomal RNA is filed under the name uncultured bacterium. RNAcentral describes it as "partial 16S ribosomal RNA". It matches the Rfam family "Bacterial small subunit ribosomal RNA", at positions 28 to 507 of the family's 1533-position model. The record is from RNAcentral.